This 450-nucleotide ribosomal RNA is filed under the name uncultured bacterium. RNAcentral describes it as "bacterial SSU rRNA". It matches the Rfam family "Bacterial small subunit ribosomal RNA", at positions 354 to 796 of the family's 1533-position model. The record is from RNAcentral.
GUGGGGAAUUUUGGACAAUGGGCGCAAGCCUGAUCCAGCCAUGCCGCGUGAGUGAAGAAGGCCUUCGGGUUGUAAAGCUCUUUCGGCCGGGAAGAAAUCGCGCCUGUGAAUAACGGGUGUGGAUGACGGUACCGGAAGAAGAAGCACCGGCUAACUACGUGCCAGCAGCCGCGGUAAUACGUAGGGUGCGAGCGUUAAUCGGAAUUACUGGGCGUAAAGCGUGCGCAGGCGGCUUGUUAAGACAGGUGUGAAAUCCCCGGGCUUAACCUGGGAAUGGCGCUUGUGACUGGCAGGCUAGAGUUCGGCAGAGGGGGGUGGAAUUCCUGGUGUAGCAGUGAAAUGCGUAGAGAUCAGGAGGAACACCGAUGGCGAAGGCAGCCCCCUGGGCCGCGACUGACGCUCAGGCACGAAAGCGUGGGGAGCAAACAGGAUUAGAUACCCUGGUAGUCC